GUCUACGGCCAUACCAUCCUGAACAUGCCCGAUCUCAUCUGAUCUCGGAAGCUAAGCAGGGUCGGUCCUGGUUAGUACUUGGAUGGGAGAAAUGAAUAUCAAUCUUUUGAUU
This 112-nucleotide ribosomal RNA is filed under the name Erinaceus europaeus (western European hedgehog). Lineage: Eukaryota; Metazoa; Chordata; Mammalia; Eulipotyphla; Erinaceidae. The record is from RNAcentral.